This 253-nucleotide ribosomal RNA is filed under the name uncultured bacterium. RNAcentral's name for it is "partial 16S ribosomal RNA". It matches the Rfam family "Bacterial small subunit ribosomal RNA", at positions 524 to 776 of the family's 1533-position model. The record is from RNAcentral.
UACGAAGGGGGCUAGCGUUGCUCGGAAUCACUGGGCGUAAAGCGCACGUAGGCGGAUCUUUAAGUCAGAGGUGAAAUCCCAAGGCUCAACCUUGGAACUGCCUUUGAUACUGGGGAUCUCGAGUCCGGAAGAGUUGAGUGGAACUGCGAGUGUAGAGGUGAAAUUCGUAGAUAUUCGCAAGAACACCAGUGGCGAAGGCGGCUCACUGGUCCGGUACUGACGCUGAGGUGCGAAAGCGUGGGGAGCAAACAGG